This 586-nucleotide ribosomal RNA is filed under the name Bacillus amyloliquefaciens. RNAcentral's name for it is "bacterial SSU rRNA". It matches the Rfam family "Bacterial small subunit ribosomal RNA", at positions 173 to 747 of the family's 1533-position model. The record is from RNAcentral. Lineage: Bacteria; Bacillati; Bacillota; Bacilli; Caryophanales; Bacillaceae.
UUGUCUGAACCGCAUGGUUCAGACAUAAAAGGUGGCUUCGGCUACCACUUACAGAUGGACCCGCGGCGCAUUAGCUAGUUGGUGAGGUAACGGCUCACCAAGGCGACGAUGCGUAGCCGACCUGAGAGGGUGAUCGGCCACACUGGGACUGAGACACGGCCCAGACUCCUACGGGAGGCAGCAGUAGGGAAUCUUCCGCAAUGGACGAAAGUCUGACGGAGCAACGCCGCGUGAGUGAUGAAGGUUUUCGGAUCGUAAAGCUCUGUUGUUAGGGAAGAACAAGUGCCGUUCAAAUAGGGCGGCACCUUGACGGUACCUAACCAGAAAGCCACGGCUAACUACGUGCCAGCAGCCGCGGUAAUACGUAGGUGGCAAGCGUUGUCCGGAAUUAUUGGGCGUAAAGGGCUCGCAGGCGGUUUCUUAAGUCUGAUGUGAAAGCCCCCGGCUCAACCGGGGAGGGUCAUUGGAAACUGGGGAACUUGAGUGCAGAAGAGGAGAGUGGAAUUCCACGUGUAGCGGUGAAAUGCGUAGAGAUGUGGAGGAACACCAGUGGCGAAAGGCGACUCUCUGGUCUGUAACUGACGCU